This 477-nucleotide ribosomal RNA is filed under the name uncultured Candidatus Brocadia sp. RNAcentral's name for it is "bacterial SSU rRNA". It matches the Rfam family "Bacterial small subunit ribosomal RNA", at positions 365 to 832 of the family's 1533-position model. The record is from RNAcentral. Lineage: Bacteria; Pseudomonadati; Planctomycetota; Candidatus Brocadiia; Candidatus Brocadiales; Candidatus Brocadiaceae.
UUCGCAAUGCCCGAAAGGGUGACGAAGCGACGCCGCGUGUGGGAAGAAGGCCUUCGGGUUGUAAACCACUGUCGGGAGUUAGGAAAUGCAGGUGCGUUAAUAGCGUUCUUGCUUGACUAAGGCUCCGGAGGAAGCCACGGCUAACUCUGUGCCAGCAGCCGCGGUAAUACAGAGGCGGCAAGCGUUGUUCGGAAUUAUUGGGCGUAAAGAGCACGUAGGCGGCUGUGUAAGUCGGUUGUGAAAGCCUUCCGCUCAACGGAAGAACGGCAUCCGAUACUGCAUGGCUUGAGUGUGGGAGGGGAGAGUGGAACUUCUGGUGGAGCGGUGAAAUGCGUAGAUAUCAGAAGGAACACCGGCGGCGAAGGCGACUCUCUGGUCCAUAACUGACGCUGAGUGUGCGAAAGCUAGGGGAGCAAACGGGAUUAGAUACCCCGGUAGUCCUAGCCGUAAACGAUGGGCACUAAGUAGAGGGGUUUU